Molecule: ribosomal RNA, 1005 nt
Filed under: Triticum aestivum (bread wheat)
Lineage: Eukaryota; Viridiplantae; Streptophyta; Magnoliopsida; Poales; Poaceae
Description: partial small subunit ribosomal RNA
Source: RNAcentral
AUGGAAGGAGUCGAGGGGCUGUUGAGGGGGUUGAAGCUGUCGGAGGCAGAGAAGAGAGGGCUGAAGAUUGGAGAGGAGGAGAUAGGGAAGGCAGCGGACUGGGCGGCCAAGGAACCACAGGUGAUGGGAAAACUCUUCUCGGAGAAACCCGCACAUGCCAGCGUGAUCGGGCAAACACUGGGGAGGAUCUGGUGUCCCAUUAAAGGUGUGGAUUGCAAAGAGGUGGAGUCCAAUGUGUUCUUAUUUACCUUCCGUCAACCGGCGGGUUGGAGGCGAGCACUGGAGGAAGGACCGUGGUGGUUUGAUAAGGAACUCUUAGUAAUGGAGGAUUUCGACCCAGAGAAGACGGUAGAUGAAUAUGACUUCAACCUGAUCCCAAUAUGGUUCCAUGUGUUUGGGCUACCACUCGGGUAUAUGAACAGAGCCACAGGUGAGCGCAUUGGCGCAAGUUUUCACAAACUAGUCGAGGUGGAUGUAAGGCAUGAUGGGAGAGUUGUGGGGAAGUACCUCCGCGUGAAAGUGAAACUGAACAUUAAGGAACCGAUCAUGAGGGGCUUCGUGCUGGACAGGGAGAGGACGUCAGAUGGCAACAUGCUGGUGGAGGUAGCGGAGGGAGAGGACAGUAGUAAGAAGAAGAAAAGGAAAGAACUACUCUGGUGCCGUUUUGAGUAUGAACAGAUGCCAGAUUUCUAUUACACCCGCGGGAUUAUUGGACAUGGGGAGAAGGAGUCUAGUAUGAAACCUGUGAGAGGUGAAGAACCCCAGUACGGCCCAUGGAUGAGAGCAGAGGACAGCCACGAGAAGGAGGAAGGAGGGAGAGGUAGAUGGAAUGAGGGGAGACGCAACAUCAGUGGUAGAAGUCUGAGUGGAGGGAGAGGAUGCAAGGGGAACUUUUCCCAAGGAGAACGUAGGAAGUACAACUGGGGCAGAGGUUCUGGUGGGUCGGCAGCGAUGCCCCAUCUUGGAGGAAGGAGGGGGUUGUAUCAGGAAGCAAUGAUAAGAUAG